Molecule: ribosomal RNA, 364 nt
Filed under: Platydema sp. 2 GJK-2014
Lineage: Eukaryota; Metazoa; Arthropoda; Insecta; Coleoptera; Tenebrionidae
Description: partial 12S ribosomal RNA
Source: RNAcentral
GAUACCCUAUUAUUUUUAAUGUACAAAUGAACCUUGAUUAUUAAUAGUUAUGGUCUUUAAAAUUAAAGGAUUUGGCGGUAUUUUAGUCUGUUCAGAGAAACCUGUUUUUUAAUUGAUGGUCCACGAUAAUAUUUACUUUUUCUUUUUAUAUGUCGUUGUUUAUAAAAAUUUUAGGAAAACAAUAAUUUUUAAUUUUUUUAAUAAAAGUUUAUUUUAGAUCAAGGUGUAGUUUAUGAAAAAGUUAGAAUGGGUUACAUUACGGUUAUGUUUGGUUUUUGAAUUUUAAAUUUAAGAUAAAUUGGAUUUGCUAGUAAGUUAUUUAUUUUUGGGAAUUGAUUUAGCUCUAAAAUAUGCACACAUCGCC